Molecule: ribosomal RNA, 236 nt
Filed under: uncultured bacterium
Lineage: Bacteria
Description: partial 16S ribosomal RNA
Rfam family: Bacterial small subunit ribosomal RNA
Source: RNAcentral
CGGGACGGGUGAGUAACGCGUGGGUAACCUGCCUCAUACAGGGGGAUAACAGUUAGAAAUGACUGCUAAUACCGCAUAAGACCACAGCACCGCAUGGUGCAGGGGUAAAAACUCCGGUGGUAUGAGAUGGACCCGCGUCUGAUUAGCUAGUUGGUGAGGUAACGGCCCACCAAGGCGACGAUCAGUAGCCGACCUGAGAGGGUGACCGGCCACAUUGGGACUGAGACACGGCCCAG